Molecule: unclassified non-coding RNA, 288 nt
Filed under: uncultured fungus
Lineage: Eukaryota; Fungi
Description: partial contains 5.8S rRNA and ITS2
Source: RNAcentral
AACGCAACUGGCGCCGGUUUACCGGCAUGCCUGUUUCAUUGUGCUAGGAGAGUAAACUAUCAUUAUAAAAUAUAAUGCGAUUGAGGUACAUUUAUGUUCUUCUUUCGUUAAAUAUGAAGGUGUGAAAGAUGAGUAAUCUCUCACACUGGCAAACGAAGUAGUCAUGCUUGUUCGUGAUCUCGUUUAACCAGUGCUAAAGGUUUUUGCUUAGAUAUAAAUCACGUGUAUUCAAGUAAAUUUUUAAAAAUUGGGCAUCAGAAAGCAGACAAGGAUACCCGCUGAACUUAA